CUCCUGUGAAGCAUAUCUACCAUUUUCGUGCAAAGCUCUCUGGAAAGCGUAUUGACUGUGUAUGCAUGCAUGCAUCUAUCGAACUUCGUGCACAUAUAGACGUGAUGCUUUGACGAUAAAUACUUAUUAAAAUUCAAAUUAUUUAUUUCUGCCUUGUAAAGGUACAGACAGCAGAGGCGCAGAAAAAGCUGUCAGAUACAGAUUGACAAAGCCGCAGCCCCCUUUCGCUUGGCAGAGCCUUUACAGCGACACUUUUAAAACAAAGACAAUUGCACCCGGUAAUAACAGGUAUACAAUACUGAGCAAGUACAAAAGGAAACCAAUCAAGAUUAUACGAUAUUUGUACAAUACUCCCAAACAAGGAAACAGAACCUACAUGCUAACGUACAUAGCACCCAAAGUACUGUUCGACACGUUGAAGAAGUCAAAAUUAUUGUUCACAUAAGGUAUAUACAUAUUCGUAUAGCGCUACCAAUCCCUUCAAAAUAUAGAACGCAGAUUUUCAUUACACACACGCACGCACGCACGUGCACAGCACACACACCAAAAGGAAACGGCAACGCGCUCACAGGAAGCGCCUGAAAAACGAAAAAAAAAAAGGAAAAGUGUGGGGAACCGAGGUCGUCUUGGGCUGUCGCCUCUCCCUCUCCCAGAAGGAAUGAAGAGGUUCUUGGAAAGCAGGGACGGGCGAUUCUCUCUGUCAGCAUCAGCUCCCACCAGCGAGGACGGGGCGAGAAAGCGAAACGGGACUUUCCUUGCUGUCUAUUUUUUCUUCGUCAGGCCAACGCCGCUUGCUUGCAGGGGCGCAGGCGAGUUCCCGCCAAAUGGCGCGGGUGCGUGAGUUGCCGCCAAAUGCUAGCUCUGGAUGCCAGCUCGUUCCGCGUCUCAUGGUAGACUAGUUGGUGCAUUUCUGUUAUCAUGGACUGCGCAUAUAAACGCAAGCUACACAAAAGUGACAUGGACAAGAACAGCGCAAGCCUUUUACAUGCAGUGGAGCCGCCGUAUCUCGCCGUUCAAGAUAUGCGUACUCGAAAAAAAAAAAAAAAAGAGGCUUUACAUGAGAACGGAUCAAGCGUUCGAGAGUUGGGACAGGGAAAUGUGAGACGUACGUAUGUAUAUAUUUCUAAUAUUAUUUUUUCGUCUUGUAUUCUCGUUAAUUUUUCUCUAGGAAACACUGGAACGACACUGCUUAAAUUGAAGCACAGUGUGCGAAUGACCUGCUACGCUCGGAACUGUUAUCACCAUUCGGGAAGAAAUUGGAUGAAAAAACAUAACCGUAAAUACCUGUAUGAUAUACGUCUGGUGCAUUGCAGGUAAGAAUGGAUUGUGUGUGGCGCGCUUCACCGCAUGUGGACUAGAGUAGAUCUAGGAACAUCAGACAAGAAGACACGUAUGUGAAACCCUGCGGAUAGCCCAUAUGUGAACUUUUUUUCCAGAUACGGGGGAACGGACACCGGUCGUGCCGUGAGCACUAUUCUGCAGGGCAUACUUACAAAUGAAGCUGCACUGCAGUUCAGCUGGAAAGGGUCGCAGGGGAGGAAGCACGCCUUCGUGAAGCUCAUGGCCAUCACGAAUAUAACAUCUGUGAGGAGCACGUUCCCUGACGCUUCACUAGCAUCAGUGGCUGGAGUCGCAAAACGCCGGUUGGUUGGAGCAGCUGACAGGGAUGGAGGCCGGAAUGAAAGAAGGCGCCGUGACCCUGCUUCAAGCCCACCAAAUAUGAACUAGUGUUUGAAACUUGUGAACGUGUCGGUGUACAUAUACAAUUACAAGAAAUAAAGACCUGUAUCAGAA
Molecule: long non-coding RNA, 1794 nt
Organism: Dermacentor andersoni
Lineage: Eukaryota; Metazoa; Arthropoda; Arachnida; Ixodida; Ixodidae
Source: RefSeq, a predicted model, not a curated record